This 253-nucleotide ribosomal RNA is filed under the name uncultured bacterium. Its description in RNAcentral is "partial 16S ribosomal RNA". It matches the Rfam family "Bacterial small subunit ribosomal RNA", at positions 524 to 776 of the family's 1533-position model. The record is from RNAcentral.
UACGAAGGGGGCUAGCGUUGCUCGGAAUCACUGGGCGUAAAGCGCACGUAAGCGGCUUUCUAAGUCAGGGGUGAAAUCCUGGAGCUCAACUCCAGAACUGCCUUUGAUACUGGAGAGCUUGAGACCGGAAGAGGUAAGUGGAACUGCGAGUGUAGAGGUGAAAUUCGUAGAUAUUCGCAAGAGCACCAGUGGCGAAGGCGGCUUACUGGUCCGGUUCUGACGCUGAGGCGCGAAAGCGUGGGGAGCAAACAGG